RNAcentral lists this ribosomal RNA (410 nucleotides) under uncultured bacterium. RNAcentral describes it as "bacterial SSU rRNA". It matches the Rfam family "Bacterial small subunit ribosomal RNA", at positions 335 to 735 of the family's 1533-position model. The record is from RNAcentral.
ACUCCUACGGGAGGCAGCAGUCGAGAAUCUUCCGCAAUGGACGAAAGUCUGACGGAGCGACGCCGCGUGGAGGACGAAGGCCCUCGGGUUGUAAACUCCUGUCACGAGUUAAGAAGUCUGUAUGGCGAAUAGCUGUGCAGAUUGACGUAAGCUCGAGAGGAAGCACUGGCUAACUCUGUGCCAGCAGCCGCGGUAAUACAGAGAGUGCGAACGUUGUUCGGAAUUACUGGGCUUAAAGCGCGCGUAGGCGGCGUAACAAGUGUCGGGUGAAAUCCCACGGCUCACCCGUGGAACUGCCCGGCAAACUGUUAUGCAUAGAGUGUGGUAGGGGAGAACAGAACGUCAUGGUGGAGCGGUGAAAUGCGUAGAUAUCAUGAGGAAUACCGGUGGCGAAGGCGGUUCUCUGGUCC